This 490-nucleotide ribosomal RNA is filed under the name uncultured bacterium. Its description in RNAcentral is "bacterial SSU rRNA". It matches the Rfam family "Bacterial small subunit ribosomal RNA", at positions 28 to 507 of the family's 1533-position model. The record is from RNAcentral.
GAUGAACGCUAGCUACAGGCUUAACACAUGCAAGUCGAGGGGAAACGACAUCGAAAGCUUGCUUUUGAUGGGCGUCGACCGGCGCACGGGUGAGUAACGCGUAUCCAACCUGCCCACCACUUGGGGAUAACCUUGCGAAAGUAAGACUAAUACCCAAUGAUAUCCCACGAAGGCAUCCGAAUGGGAUUAAAGAUUUAUCGGUGAUGGAUGGGGAUGCGUCUGAUUAGCUUGUUGGCGGGGUAACGGCCCACCAAGGCUACGAUCAGUAGGGGUUCUGAGAGGAAGGUCCCCCACAUUGGAACUGAGACACGGUCCAAACUCCUACGGGAGGCAGCAGUGAGGAAUAUUGGUCAAUGGACGAGAGUCUGAACCAGCCAAGUCGCGUGAAGGAAGACGGAUCUAUGGUUUGUAAACUUCUUUAGUGCGGGAACAAAGCGGCGUCGUGACGCCGGGUGAGUGUACCGCAAGAUAAGCAUCGGCUAACUCCGUG